CUCUUAUCCUGAGUAGGCGGAGGGACAGGCCCGAAGAAGCCCAGCAACCAACAUUCUAAGCCAGAGUGAAAAGGUGCUAACCUGCAAGGCAUUGCCUUGGACGAUAAGAG
Molecule: non-coding RNA, 110 nt
Filed under: Halalkalibacter wakoensis
Lineage: Bacteria; Bacillati; Bacillota; Bacilli; Caryophanales; Bacillaceae
Also listed under: 1 other name
Description: Bacillus wakoensis SAM-I sequence
Rfam family: SAM riboswitch aptamer (S box leader)
About the family: The SAM riboswitch is found upstream of a number of genes which code for proteins involved in methionine or cysteine biosynthesis in Gram-positive bacteria. The SAM riboswitch acts at the level of transcription termination control.
Source: RNAcentral